CUCCCCACCAUGGAGGUGGCAGCACUCCAUCACAUGGAGGUGGCUACGGUGGCACACCACCCAGCCACCCAACCCCAUCAACCCCAUCUCCUGGAAAUUGUGGAACUCCACCGAGCGUGCCCACUCCAUCAAGACCACCAAGUGAUCCUACUCCAACACCAUACACGCCUACACCAUCAACACCACCUAGUGUGCCUACUCCAUCAACACCUUCAAAUCCUCCUCCCAGCGGUGGUGGAUACUACCCCACUCCUCCAAGCACUGGUGGUAGUCCUCCAACACCUGUCAUUGAGACCCCACCGACACCCAUCACUCCAACUCCAAGUACCCCUUACAUUCCCUCGCCUCCGUUCAUUCCUGAUCCAAAUUCACCAUUCACAUGCACGUAAGCUUCUUACACUAAUUUAUUUUUGAUAAUGCAGUAACCAAAUAUUGACACCCAAAUGCUUGUGUAAUCGCAGUUACUGGAAGAAUCAUCCUGGAAUAAUAUGGGGUCUACUAGGGUGGUGGGGAACCGUAGGCAGCGCAUUUGGAGCGACUAGCUUUUCAGGGUUCGGGGCAAGCAUGAGCUUGCCGCAAGCGCUCUCGAAUACACGAAAUGAUGGGUACGGAACACUCUACAGAGAAGGUACUGCUUCCUUGCUCAACUCAAUGGUGAGCAAC
Molecule: long non-coding RNA, 663 nt
Filed under: Manihot esculenta (cassava)
Lineage: Eukaryota; Viridiplantae; Streptophyta; Magnoliopsida; Malpighiales; Euphorbiaceae
Description: long non-coding RNA (MESC_LNC000530)
Source: RNAcentral